This 388-nucleotide ribosomal RNA is filed under the name Salmonella enterica. RNAcentral describes it as "partial 23S ribosomal RNA". It matches the Rfam family "Bacterial large subunit ribosomal RNA", at positions 1292 to 1680 of the family's 2925-position model. Lineage: Bacteria; Pseudomonadati; Pseudomonadota; Gammaproteobacteria; Enterobacterales; Enterobacteriaceae. The record is from RNAcentral.
GAAUGCUGACAUAAGUAACGAUAAAGCGGGUGAAAAGCCCGCUCGCCGGAAGACCAAGGGUUCCUGUCCAACGUUAAUCGGGGCAGGGUGAGUCGACCCCUAAGGCGAGGCCGAAAGGCGUAGUCGAUGGGAAACGGGUUAAUAUUCCCGUACUUGGUGUUACUGCGAAGGGGGGACGGAGAAGGCUAUGUUGGCCGGGCGACGGUUGUCCCGGUUUAAGCGUGUAGGUGUGUGUUCCAGGUAAAUCCGGUUCACUUUAACACUGAGGCGUGACGACGAGGCACUACGGUGCUGAAGCAACAAAUGCCCUGCUUCCAGGAAAAGCCUCUAAGCAUCAGGUAACAUCAAAUCGUACCCCAAACCGACACAGGUGGUCAGGUAGAGAAUA